RNAcentral lists this small RNA (303 nucleotides) under Dehalococcoides mccartyi VS. The record is from RNAcentral. Lineage: Bacteria; Bacillati; Chloroflexota; Dehalococcoidia; Dehalococcoidales; Dehalococcoidaceae.
UGUUCCCGGGUUGGCCGCAUGAACCAGCUGGUAACAGCUGGUCUAGAUAGAUGGUCAUCGCCCUUGCCUUCGGGCAAGGGUACAGAACUCGGCUUACAGGUCUGCUUGGCUUAAAUUUUAUUAGUAAACCACUCCUUUUUAAGGGGUGGUUUUGUUAUUUAAAAACUAUUCAGGCCGUAUUCGUCUGGUAUAGUUAAGCCGGGUGUUUAGAUAGUAGAGCAGCAAAAGGCUGCUUUCGCUUGCAGCCAUUACCGUCAUUGCCGUAAACAUGUUGGUUACGUAUUCUCUGGCUGGAGCUGAGUC